Molecule: transfer RNA, 20 nt
Filed under: Pseudomonas asiatica
Lineage: Bacteria; Pseudomonadati; Pseudomonadota; Gammaproteobacteria; Pseudomonadales; Pseudomonadaceae
Description: partial tRNA-Gly
Source: RNAcentral
GAUUCCCAUCACCCGCUCCA